CAUCUCGACCCUCAUCUCAGCAAUUUGUUACAUUAACUGCAGGAUCAGUUCAUUUUGAUCGGCAAGGACGGGCUGAGCUACCACGACAUCAGUAAGGUCAAUUUCUUCGUUGUUAUCACCCAUUGCUGCUUUUCCUUUUUGGGAACUUUGGCUGGGAAAGGAAUCUGUAGGCCCUUUUGAUCUGGUGAAAUAAGGAUGAUCGGCCAGUGUAUCAACACAGAUCAGUUCUAACUACCUGU
This 239-nucleotide long non-coding RNA is filed under the name Solanum tuberosum (potato). RNAcentral describes it as "long non-coding RNA (STUB_LNC005582)". Lineage: Eukaryota; Viridiplantae; Streptophyta; Magnoliopsida; Solanales; Solanaceae. The record is from RNAcentral.